RNAcentral lists this ribosomal RNA (448 nucleotides) under uncultured bacterium. RNAcentral describes it as "partial 16S ribosomal RNA". It matches the Rfam family "Bacterial small subunit ribosomal RNA", at positions 29 to 523 of the family's 1533-position model. The record is from RNAcentral.
AGCGAACAUUGGCGGUAGGCUUAACACAUGCAAGUCGAGCGAGGCGUAAUAGUCGAGCGGCGAACGGGUGAGUAAUACUUGGGCAUCUACCCUGAAGUGGGGUAUAACGUUCAGAAAUGGACGCUAAUACCGCAUAAUCCACAUUGGGAAAGCGCGUUUCGCUUUAGGAUGUGCCCAAGGCUGAUUAGAUACUUGGUGGGUAAGGGCCUACCAGGCCGACGAUCCAUGGCUGGUUUGAGAGGAUGAUCAGCCACACUGGGACUGAGACAAGGCCCAGACCUCUACGGGAGGCAGCAGUGGGGAAGCUUAGACAAUGGGCGCAAGCCUGAUCUAGCCAUGCCGCGUGAGCGAUAAAGACCUUAGGGUUGUAAAGCACUUUCGUGGUGGAAGAUAAUGACUGUACCCCAAGAAGCAGCCCCGGCUAACUCCGUGCCAGCCGCCGCAGUAA